GACGAACGCUGGCGGCGUGCUUAACACAUGCAAGUCGAACGGAAAGGCCCUGCUUUUGUGGGGUGCUCGAGUGGCGAACGGGUGAGUAACACGUGAGUAACCUGCCCUUGACUUUGGGAUAACUUCAGGAAACUGGGGCUAAUACCGGAUAGGAGCUCCUGCUGCAUGGUGGGGGUUGGAAAGUUUCGGCGGUUGGGGAUGGACUCGCGGCUUAUCAGCUUGUUGGUGGGGUAGUGGCUUACCAAGGCUUUGACGGGUAGCCGGCCUGAGAGGGUGACCGGCCACAUUGGGACUGAGAUACGGCCCAGACUCCUACGGGAGGCAGCAGUGGGGAAUAUUGCACAAUGGGCGGAAGCCUGAUGCAGCAACGCCGCGUGCGGGAUGACGGCCUUCGGGGUGUAAACCGCUUUCGCCUGUGACGAAGCGUGAGUGACGGUAAUGGGUAAAGAAGCACCGGCUAACUACGUG
RNAcentral lists this ribosomal RNA (468 nucleotides) under uncultured bacterium. RNAcentral's name for it is "partial 16S ribosomal RNA". It matches the Rfam family "Bacterial small subunit ribosomal RNA", at positions 28 to 507 of the family's 1533-position model. The record is from RNAcentral.